CUUGCUAGAUGAUGACGAGCGGCGGACGGGUGAGUAAUACUUGGGGAUCUGCCUGAUGGCGGGGGACAACCACUGGAAACGGUGGCUAAUACCGCAUAAUACCUACGGGUCAAAGUGUGGGACCUUCGGGCCACACGCCAUCAGAUGAACCCAAGCGAGAUUAGCUAGUUGGUGGGGUAAAGGCUCACCAAGGCGACGAUCUCUAGCUGUUCUGAGAGGAUGAUCAGCCACACUGGGACUGAGACACGGCCCAGACUCCUACGGGAGGCAGCAGUGGGGAAUAUUGGACAAUGGGCGCAAGCCUGAUCCAGCCAUGCCGCGUGUGUGAAGAAGGCCUUCGGGUUGUAAAGCACUUUCAGUGGUGAGGAAGGGGUGCUAGUUAAUAGCUAGCAUCAUUGACGUUAGCCACAGAAGAAGCACCGGCUAACUCCGUGCCAGCAGCCGCGGUAAUACGGAGGGUGCGAGCGUUAAUCGGAAUUACUGGGCGUAAAGCGCACGUAGGCGGUUUGUUAAGCAAGAUGUGAAAGCCCAGGGCUCAACCUUGGAAUUGCAUUUUGAACUGGCAAGCUAGAGUUUUGAAGAGGGUGGUAGAAUUUCCAGUGUAG
RNAcentral lists this ribosomal RNA (605 nucleotides) under uncultured Gammaproteobacteria bacterium. Its description in RNAcentral is "bacterial SSU rRNA". It matches the Rfam family "Bacterial small subunit ribosomal RNA", at positions 77 to 678 of the family's 1533-position model. Lineage: Bacteria; Pseudomonadati; Pseudomonadota; Gammaproteobacteria. The record is from RNAcentral.